RNAcentral lists this non-coding RNA (28 nucleotides) under Homo sapiens (human). Lineage: Eukaryota; Metazoa; Chordata; Mammalia; Primates; Hominidae. The record is from RNAcentral.
UUCAUGGCGCGGGUUCCUCAAGCCCUGA